RNAcentral lists this small RNA (125 nucleotides) under Bacillus sp. (in: firmicutes). RNAcentral describes it as "Bacillus sp. Guanidine-I sequence". It matches the Rfam family "Guanidine-I riboswitch aptamer". From Rfam's summary of the family: This family represents a conserved RNA structure found upstream of the ykkC and yxkD genes in Bacillus subtilis and related genes in other bacteria. The function of this family is unclear although it has been suggested that it may function to switch on efflux pumps and detoxification systems in response to harmful environmental molecules. Nelson showed that this riboswitch senses and responds to guanidine and it was renamed Guanidine-I riboswitch. The record is from RNAcentral. Lineage: Bacteria; Bacillati; Bacillota; Bacilli; Caryophanales; Bacillaceae.
AAAAAAGCUGUCUAGGGUUCCGUUGAUAGAUGUAAAAUAAUCGGUCAAGACUGGUCCAAGAGAGAGCGUAUAGAAUUUACUUUUUGUAUCUUCUAUAUACACGGAAGGAUAAAAGCCUGGGAGAU